This 73-nucleotide transfer RNA is filed under the name Helicosporidium sp. ATCC 50920. It matches the Rfam family "tRNA". From Rfam's summary of the family: Transfer RNA (tRNA) molecules are approximately 80 nucleotides in length. Their secondary structure includes four short double-helical elements and three loops (D, anti-codon, and T loops). Further hydrogen bonds mediate the characteristic L-shaped molecular structure. tRNAs have two regions of fundamental functional importance: the anti-codon, which is responsible for specific mRNA codon recognition, and the 3' end, to which the tRNAs corresponding amino acid is attached (by aminoacyl-tRNA synthetases). tRNAs cope with the degeneracy of the genetic code in two manners: having more than one tRNA (with a specific anti-codon) for a particular amino acid; and 'wobble' base-pairing, i.e. permitting non-standard base-pairing at the 3rd anti-codon position. The record is from Rfam by way of RNAcentral. Lineage: Eukaryota; Viridiplantae; Chlorophyta; Trebouxiophyceae; Chlorellales; Chlorellaceae.
GCCCCUGUAGCGCAGCGGAUAGCGCGUGAAUUUCCUAAGUUCAAGGUCCCAGGUUCGAAUCCUGGCUGGGGUG